GGGGACAUAGUUUAAUUGGUAAAACUGGCGACUUUGCAAGUCGUUAUCUCAGGUUCGAAUCCUGAUGUCUCCAU
Non-coding RNA from Pseudogymnoascus destructans, 74 nucleotides. The record is from the annotation of a RefSeq genome assembly. NCBI's taxonomy places the organism in Eukaryota, Fungi, Ascomycota, Leotiomycetes, Thelebolales, Thelebolaceae.